GUUUUUUUUUUUAGAUAGUGUUGCGGGAAAGAUCGUAGUCCCCCUUCUGUCAGGUGUCCCUCGACCGCCCAAGUGGUGUGUAAGGGGGGAGCAGCCCUUUCAGGGGAACGUGUCUGCACUUCAUUGUGUGUUGCGAGAUCCUUGACUUUUACUUUGAGGAAAUAAGAGUGUUCCAAGCAGGCUCUCGUCGUGCAUAGCUCAGCAUGGAAUAAUAGCAUUGGACUUCGUUUCUACGCUGUUGGUUGCAAGAAGCGAGGUAAUGAUGAAGAGGGAUAGUUGGGGGCAUUCGUAUUUAACUGUCAGAGGUGAAAUUCUUGCAUUUGUUAAAGACGGACUACUGCGAAAGCAUCUGCCAUGGAUGUUUUCAUUGAUCAAGAACGAAAGUUAGGGGAUCGAAGACGAUCAGAUACCGUCCUAGUCUUAACUAUAAACCAUGCCGGCUAUUUUUUUUUUGGUCGUUCGAUUUGUGACCCUUCCUCUUCUUGAGAGAAAUCAAAGCCUUUGGGUUCCGGGGGGAGCCUGGUCGCAAGGCUGAAACUUUAAGGAAUUGACCGACGUGCCCACCAGCAGUGGAGCCCUGCGGCUAAAUUCUCUCACACGGGAAAAACACCCCGCCCGACUCAUUCCGCCUCCUGAACUAUACUCUCUCCGAUUCUAUGGGUGGU
This 665-nucleotide ribosomal RNA is filed under the name uncultured eukaryote. RNAcentral describes it as "partial 18S ribosomal RNA". It matches the Rfam family "Eukaryotic small subunit ribosomal RNA", at positions 593 to 1278 of the family's 1831-position model. The record is from RNAcentral.